RNAcentral lists this ribosomal RNA (443 nucleotides) under uncultured bacterium. Its description in RNAcentral is "SSU rRNA". It matches the Rfam family "Bacterial small subunit ribosomal RNA", at positions 26 to 518 of the family's 1533-position model. The record is from RNAcentral.
AGGAUGAACGCUGGCGGUCUGCUUAACACAUGCAAGUCGAACGGAGUAGCAAUACUUAGUGGCGGACGGGUGAGUAACGCGUGAGAAUCUACCUUCAGGACGGAGACAACAGUUGGAAACGACUGCUAACCCCCGAUGUACUGAAAAGGCAAAUAUUUAUAGCCUGAAGAAGAGCUCGCGUCCGAUUAGCUAGUUGGAGAGGUAAAAGCUCACCAAGGCGACGAUGGGUAGCUGGCUUGAGAGAGCGACCAGCCACACUGGGACUGAGACACGGCCCAGACUCCUACGGGAGGCAGCAGUGAGGAAUUUUCCGCAAUGGGCGAAAGCCUGACGGAGCGACGCCGCGUGUGGGAGAAGGCCUUCGGGUCGUAACCACUGUCGAAGGGGAAGAUAUUGACGGUACCCUUGGAGGAAGCCCCGGCUAACUACGCGCCAGCAGCCGC